RNAcentral lists this long non-coding RNA (436 nucleotides) under Equus asinus (donkey). RNAcentral's name for it is "lncRNA (ENSEASG00005038321.1)". The record is from RNAcentral. Lineage: Eukaryota; Metazoa; Chordata; Mammalia; Perissodactyla; Equidae.
GUUCUACAGGCUCUUGUCUCUGCUUAUCUGGAACUCUCUGCUCCUUGUGAACACCCACCAUCACCUUUGCCUGGAAAUUCCUAUUCACCCUUUGGAUCCACAGUUUAAGCGUCACUUCCUCCAAGAAGCCUCCUCUGGUUCUCCACCACUCCCACCCCUACAGAAACAGAGGAAAGGGAACCUCUGCCACUCCACUUCAGCCUGACACUCCUGAGAUGCCUCAAGGCACAACUAAACAAAUGUAACCAUGUCUUGAGAACCAGCUAUGCCCUGGUCACUAACCAGACCUUGAGGAUACAUAAGUGACUAUCUCACAGGCCAGUCUCCAGAUCUCUGGUAGAAGAGAGAGUCAUUCUAAUAAAUGAUUACAACAUUCCACAAUAAGUGCUGAGGUGGAUAAAGGGGCCACAAAGAAUCGCCCCUCAGCCAGCUUGUC